GCCCGGCUAGCUCAGUCCUUAGAUCAUG
RNAcentral lists this small RNA (28 nucleotides) under Bombyx mori (domestic silkworm). RNAcentral describes it as "ovarian small RNA-16662". The record is from RNAcentral. Lineage: Eukaryota; Metazoa; Arthropoda; Insecta; Lepidoptera; Bombycidae.